This is a long non-coding RNA of Canis lupus familiaris (dog), 408 nucleotides long. RefSeq lists it as uncharacterized. NCBI's taxonomy places the organism in Eukaryota, Metazoa, Chordata, Mammalia, Carnivora, Canidae. The transcript is spliced from 2 exons. The record is from RefSeq and is a predicted model, not a curated record.
GUGGUGACAAGAACUCUGUGGAAAAGGAUUCUGAGAAACCCUGUUUGCCCAAAUCAGUUAUCUGUGUACAAAUUUCAUUUUUCAUCUUCCUGCUGGCUCUGGGGCAAAAUGUGUAAUCUCAUUUGAUAAGUCACGUCAUGAAUUCUACUGCUCAGGUUCUCUCAGCGCUUCUCAAGUGGCACCAUGAUAACAUUCAAUGCAGCAAGCCCUACCAUUCCGUCGCCUGUGAUAUCCCCUUGUAAUGGGCAUUCACUCUGGGCAAAUCAGCGCUCUUGCAAAGAAUCUGCUCUCAUCAUCUCCUGAAACUACUUCAAGUCUCCUGACUGACCUCUCUCUUUUAUUCCUGUAACUAAUGUAGAGCUCCAUAAAUUAUGGGACAAUCAUAAUAAAAACUACUACUAUUUCUGA